Molecule: long non-coding RNA, 1040 nt
Organism: Micropterus dolomieu (smallmouth bass)
Lineage: Eukaryota; Metazoa; Chordata; Actinopteri; Centrarchiformes; Centrarchidae
Exons: 3
Source: RefSeq, a predicted model, not a curated record
UGUGCACGAGAGGCGGGGCCAGUUCAGGAGACGCAACGUCGUAUCAUUGAGCGAUGCUUUCAGUAUGUGUCUGAUCUGUCACAACGACUUGAAUCAAGGAACCGGUGGCACCAGAGAGCUGCAGUGCACGCACACCUUCCACAAAGAGUGUAUAGAGGAGUGGCUGUGGAGGAAACAGUCCUGUCCCACGUGUCACGUUCAGGUGUCCGUACCUCAGCCCGUCUACUGGACCUCCACCAGGGUCAAAGUCCCCUGAAACCACCAGGAAGGGAGAGCGACAUCAUCAAACUUCCUUAAAACCUGCGGCAGUUUACUGCGACAUCAUCGAAGUCUUCUCAAAUCUAAAGCGUUGGACUGAACCCGUCCUCACCCCAGGUCGUCACAUAUGGACGCGCGGUCAAGACUGUUGCGUUGGGAAGCCCCUCAGCGUCACAACGCACUGCGGGAAGCCCUGUAGCGUCACUUUAAAAAGCUAAAGGUAGGUGUAGGAUAUUUAACAGGACAGUCAGAGUAAGGAGCUGGUUGGGGUGGACUGUGGCCCAGAAACCGGACUUUUACCCCGGAGACUGGUGUUCAUUCCCGUGUGACACAAAAAGUCAGCGUUGAAUGUUUUUUUGAGGUUACUUAACAUUCGUAAGUUAACUGACGUAUGUUGUUAUUUUUAAGCCAAACCACAAUCUUUUCUGAACCUAACAAAGUAGUUUUGCUGCCUAAACUUAACCGAAUUACGAUAUUUCACGAAAUUAACACCUACGUUUAUUUUGAAAGUCUAACUGGACGUUGCCAAAGUCCUUAUAGGCAAGUCCUGCCACUCGGCCGCCAACUUGGCAGCACCUCCGGGCAGCUAUUUCGGACUAACAAGACCAGGCUCCUGUCUGAAUGAAUGGGCAGAGCUGCACUUUCACCGGGACAUAAAAACAGAACCAGCAGUCAAAUCUGAAAGUUUGAAGACUUUGCCCCAAAAUAAGGUUUAAAAAGAGUUUUUCCCGACUGGUUUUACUUCUACCACGCAUGCGCAGGAGAAGUAAAACAGAUGGAAC